AGUUUUAUAGUCAAAAAUGAUAUUAAAUUGCAAAUUUAAAGGAGGGAUUAAUUCCUAAGGCUU
This 63-nucleotide transfer RNA is filed under the name Staphylinidae sp. BMNH 1274245. RNAcentral describes it as "tRNA-Cys". Lineage: Eukaryota; Metazoa; Arthropoda; Insecta; Coleoptera; Staphylinidae. The record is from RNAcentral.